RNAcentral lists this ribosomal RNA (434 nucleotides) under uncultured Clostridium sp. RNAcentral's name for it is "partial 16S ribosomal RNA". It matches the Rfam family "Bacterial small subunit ribosomal RNA", at positions 341 to 792 of the family's 1533-position model. Lineage: Bacteria; Bacillati; Bacillota; Clostridia; Eubacteriales; Clostridiaceae. The record is from RNAcentral.
ACGGGAGGCAGCAGUGGGGAAUAUUGCACAAUGGGGGAAACCCUGAUGCAGCGACGCCGCGUGAGUGAAGAAGUAUUUCGGUAUGUAAAGCUCUAUCAGCAGGGAAGAAAAUGACGGUGCCUGGCUAAGAAGCCCCGGCUAACUACGUGCCAGCAGCCGCGGUAAUACGUAGGGGGCAAGCGUUAUCCGGAUUUACUGGGUGUAAAGGGAGCGUAGACGGCGAUGCAAGUCUGAUGUGAAAUUCCGGGGCUCAACCCCGGCACUGCAUUGGAAACUGUGUUGCUAGAGUGCAGGAGAGGUAAGUGGAAUUCCUAGUGUAGCGGUGAAAUGCGUAGAUAUUAGGAGGAACACCAGUGGCGAAGGCGGCUUACUGGACUGUAACUGACGUUGAGGCUCGAAAGCGUGGGGAGCAAACAGGAUUAGAUACCCUGGUA